AAGGCUAUAUUUUCAGGAAUCAUUUCUAUAAUUGGUUACUAGAGAAUUUUCUUUGAUCAUGUAGAAACACAAAAGGU
RNAcentral lists this small nucleolar RNA (77 nucleotides) under Fukomys damarensis (Damara mole-rat). RNAcentral describes it as "Small nucleolar RNA U3". It matches the Rfam family "Small nucleolar RNA U3", at positions 1 to 78 of the family's 219-position model. From Rfam's summary of the family: Small nucleolar RNAs (snoRNAs) are involved in the processing and modification of rRNA in the nucleolus. Lineage: Eukaryota; Metazoa; Chordata; Mammalia; Rodentia; Bathyergidae. The record is from Rfam by way of RNAcentral.